RNAcentral lists this ribosomal RNA (370 nucleotides) under uncultured organism. Its description in RNAcentral is "bacterial SSU rRNA". It matches the Rfam family "Bacterial small subunit ribosomal RNA", at positions 526 to 896 of the family's 1533-position model. The record is from RNAcentral.
CGUAGGGUGCGAGCGUUAAUCGGAAUUACUGGGCGUAAAGCGUGCGCAGGCGGUUUUGUAAGACAGAUGUGAAAUCCCCGGGCUCAACCUGGGACCUGCAUUUGUGACUGCAAGGCUAGAGUACGGUAGAGGGGGAUGGAAUUCCGCGUGUAGCAGUGAAAUGCGUAGAUAUGCGGAGGAACACCGAUGGCGAAGGCAAUCCCCUGGACCUGUACUGACGCUCAUGCACGAAAGCGUGGGGAGCAAACAGGAUUAGAUACCCUGGUAGUCCACGCCCUAAACGAUGUCAACUGGUUGUUGGUUCUUUACUGACUCAGUAACGAAGCUAACGCGUGAAGUUGACCGCCUGGGGAGUACGGCCGCAAGGUUG